RNAcentral lists this ribosomal RNA (253 nucleotides) under uncultured bacterium. RNAcentral's name for it is "partial 16S ribosomal RNA". It matches the Rfam family "Bacterial small subunit ribosomal RNA", at positions 524 to 776 of the family's 1533-position model. The record is from RNAcentral.
UACGAAGGGGGCUAGCGUUGCUCGGAAUGACUGGGCGUAAAGGGCGCGUAGGCGGCUUAUACAGUCAGGCGUGAAAUUCCUGGGCUCAACCUGGGGACUGCGUCUGAUACGUAUAGGCUUGAGUAUGGAAGAGGGUCGUGGAAUUUCCAGUGUAGAGGUGAAAUUCGUAGAUAUUGGAAAGAACACCGGUGGCGAAGGCGGCGACCUGGUCCAUUACUGACGCUGAGGCGCGAAAGCGUGGGGAGCAAACAGG